Molecule: ribosomal RNA, 459 nt
Filed under: uncultured bacterium
Lineage: Bacteria
Description: partial 16S ribosomal RNA
Rfam family: Bacterial small subunit ribosomal RNA
Source: RNAcentral
CCUACGGGUGGCAGCAGUGAGGAAUAUUGGUCAAUGGUCGGGAGACUGAACCAGCCAAGCCGCGUGAGGGAUGAAGGUACAGAGUAUCGUAAACCUCUUUUGUCAGGGAACAAAGGCGGGGACGUGUCCCCGGAUGAGUGUACCUGAAGAAAAAGCAUCGGCUAACUCCGUGCCAGCAGCCGCGGUAAUACGGAGGAUGCGAGCGUUAUCCGGAUUUAUUGGGUUUAAAGGGUGCGCAGGCGGUCUGUUAAGUCAGCGGUCAAAGCCCGGGGCUCAACCCCGGACCGCCGUUGAAACUGGCAGUAUCGAGUUGGAGAGAAGUAUGCGGAAUGCGCGGUGUAGCGGUGAAAUGCAUAGAUAUCACGCAGAACUCCGAUUGCGAAGGCAGCAUACCGGCGCGCAACUGACGCUCAUGCACGAAAGCGUGGGUAUCGAACAGGAUUAGAUACCCGAGUAGUC